GCGACCCCAGGUCAGGCGGGACUACCCGCUGAAUUUAAGCAUAUCAAUAAGCGGAGGAGAAGAAACUUACAAGGAUUCCCCUAGUAACGGCGAGCGAACCGGGAUCAGCCCAGCUUGAGAAUCGGGUGGCUUUGUCGUCCGAAUUGUAGUCUGUAGAAGCGUCCUCAGCGACGGACCAAGCCCAAGUCCCCUGGAAGGGGGCGCCGGAGAGGGUGAGAGCCCCGUCGUGUCNNNNNCCUGUCGCWCCACGAGGCGUUGUCGGCGAGUCGGGUUGUUUGGGAAUGCAGCCCCAAUCGGGCGGUAAAUUCCGUCCAAGGCUAAAUACUGGCGAGAGACCGAUAGCGAACAAGUACCGCGAGGGAAAGAUGAAAAGGACUUUGAAAAGAGAGUCAAAGAGUGCUUGAAAUUGUCGGGAGGGAAGCGAAUGGGGGCCGGCGAUGCGCCUAGGUCGGAUGUAGAACGGUANNUACUGGUCUGCCACUCGACUCUGGGCGUGGAUCGAUGCGGAUUGUGACGGUGGCCCAAGCCCGGGUUGUUGACAUACUCGUGGAGACGUCAUCGUUGCGAUUGUNGUGGGCAGCGUGCGCCUCUUGGCGUGCCUUUNGCAACUGCACGCUCUCGGCAUCGGCCUGUAGGUUCCCCAUUCGGCCCGUCUUGAAACACGGACCAAGGAGUCUGACAUGUGUGCGAGUCAACGGGUGAUUAAACCCGUAAGGCGUAAGGAAGCUGAUUGGCGGGAUCCCCUUGUGGUUGCACCGCCGACCGACC
Molecule: ribosomal RNA, 768 nt
Filed under: Bongardia chrysogonum
Lineage: Eukaryota; Viridiplantae; Streptophyta; Magnoliopsida; Ranunculales; Berberidaceae
Description: eukaryotic LSU rRNA
Rfam family: Eukaryotic large subunit ribosomal RNA
Source: RNAcentral